GCUGUCAAUGUGCACUGCGCUGAUAUUCCAAACUGAUUUAGUCAAAGAAAUGCUGCGGCAGUUGGCUCAUUAAAGUGAAAUUGGCAAAUCCACACCUAUUUAGAUACGUAGAAUUUGUGAGUUAGUCCGAAAAGUGUAAUUGAAGACGUUUGUAGAAGGAGGAGGAGAAAAAGAACAUAUAAACUUGGUCUUUUGUUAUGCGAUUCUGUGGAAUUUCCAAGAGUGCUCCAAAAGGUGGAACUGGAGGAGCAGGAGGAGCUGGAGGAGCAGCUGGAGCGGAAGCGGGAGUGAUAAUAAAACAGCAACGAAGGUCAUUACUGGAAAAACGGGUUUUUCUAGCCAACCUCUACAGUUGGCUCUGCAGCAUGAAGAAUUUUUCAGUUGCAGCUCCAGUUGCCCCGGCUGCAGCAGUUGCAUCUGCAUAAAUUAUGCACCCAGAGCCAUUUGCAAAUUGUCAUUCAUCGUUGGGACGCCAACUACUGGCGACAUCUCCGCCGAUGAGGAGAUGAUGAAACGGAGAGAUGGGGAUGCGGAUGACAUGGCUUUAAGCCCACGCCGGGUUAACGCCUUGUCGCAGAUCUGGUUGCUAAUGGUCGACGGAGAUGGUGGCGCUGAUGCCAUUAAAGGUCACUUGGCGGGUGACGAAACGAGUUUCAGAUAAGAUUAAGGCCAAAAUUGCAAGUAUAACUGAGCUUUCUUUGUGGAGUAACCAAAGC
Non-coding RNA from Drosophila suzukii, 716 nucleotides. NCBI's taxonomy places the organism in Eukaryota, Metazoa, Arthropoda, Insecta, Diptera, Drosophilidae. The record is from RefSeq and is a predicted model, not a curated record.